GACGUGAGAGCGUGGCCCCCCACACUGGCACUGAGAUACGGGCCAGACUCCGGCGGGAGGCAGCAGUCGGGGAUAUUGCGCAAUGGACGAAAGUCAGACGCAGCGACGCCGCGUGGGCGAAGAAGGCCUUCGGGUUGUAAAGCCCUUUUCUGGGGGAAGAGAUAAGGACGGUACCCCAGGAAUAAGUGUCGGCUAACUACGUGCCAGCAGCCGCGGUAAAACGUAGGACACAAGCGUUAUCCGGAUUUACUGGGCGUAAAGAGCGUUGAGGCGGUUCCGUAAGUUGGACGUGAAAGCCCUCGGCUCAACUGAGGGAUGUCGUUCAAUACUGCGGGACUUGAGGGCAGCAGAGGGAGGUGGAAUUCCUAGUGCAGCGGUGAAAUGCGUAGAUAUUAGGAGGAACACCAGUGGCGAAGGCGACCUCCUGGGCUGCUCCUGACGCUGAAGGCGAAGGCUAGGGUAGCAAACGGGAUUAGAAACCCCGGUAGUCCUAGCAGUAAACGAUGGAUGCUGGGUGUGGGAGGUAUAGAUUCCUCCCGUGCCGAAGCUAACGCGUUAAGCAUCCCGCCUGAGGAUUACGGCCGCAAGGCUAAAACUCAAACGAAUUGACGGGGACCCGCACAAGCAGCGGAGCGUGUGGUUUAAUUCGAUGCUACACGAAGAACCUUACCUGGGUUUGACAUGCAAGUAGUAGUGAAGCGAAAGCUGAUCGACCCUUCGGGGAGCUUGCACAGGUGCUGCAUGGCUGUCGUCAGCUCGUGCCGUGAGGUGUCGGGUUAAGUCCCGUAACGAGCGCAACCAUUGUCCUUAGUUACAAGUGUCUAAGGAGACUGCCCGGGACAACUGGGAGGAAGCUGGGGAUGACGUCAAGUCAGCAUGGCCUUUAUGUCCAGGGCUACACACACGCUACAAUGGCCGGUACAAUGGGUCGCCAAACAGUAAGGUGGAGCCAAUCCCGUAAAGCCGGUCCAAGUUUGGAUUGUGGGCUGCAACUCGCCCACAUGAAGCUGGAGUUGCUAGUAACCGUGGGUCAGCUAUACUACGCUGAAUACGUUCCCGGGUCUGUACACACCGCCCGUCACGUCAUGGAAGCUGGAACACCUAAA
Molecule: ribosomal RNA, 1106 nt
Filed under: uncultured organism
Description: bacterial SSU rRNA
Rfam family: Bacterial small subunit ribosomal RNA
Source: RNAcentral